This 641-nucleotide ribosomal RNA is filed under the name Intrasporangiaceae bacterium SK256-28. RNAcentral's name for it is "bacterial SSU rRNA". It matches the Rfam family "Bacterial small subunit ribosomal RNA", at positions 37 to 687 of the family's 1533-position model. Lineage: Bacteria; Bacillati; Actinomycetota; Actinomycetes; Micrococcales; Intrasporangiaceae. The record is from RNAcentral.
UGGCGGCGUGCUUAACACAUGCAAGUCNAACGGUGAUCUCGAGAGCUUGCUCUCGAGUGAUCAGUGGCGAACGGGUGAGUAACACGUGAGUAACCUGCCCCAGACUCUGGAAUAACCCCGGGAAACCGGAGCUAAUACCGGAUACGAGACGGAGAGGCAUCUCUACCGUCUGGAAAGUUUUUCGGUCUGGGAUGGACUCGCGGCCUAUCAGCUUGUUGGUGAGGUAAUGGCUCACCAAGGCGACGACGGGUAGCCGGCCUGAGAGGGCGACCGGCCACACUGGGACUGAGACACGGCCCAGACUCCUACGGGAGGCAGCAGUGGGGAAUAUUGCACAAUGGGCGAAAGCCUGAUGCAGCGACGCCGCGUGAGGGAUGACGGCCUUCGGGUUGUAAACCUCUUUCAGCAGGGAAGAAGCGAAAGUGACGGUACCUGCAGAAGAAGCACCGGCUAACUACGUGCCAGCAGCCGCGGUAAUACGUAGGGUGCGAGCGUUGUCCGGAAUUAUUGGGCGUAAAGAGCUUGUAGGCGGUUUGUCGCGUCUGCCGUGAAAAUUCGAGGCUCAACCUCGAACUUGCGGUGGGUACGGGCAGACUAGAGUGUGGUAGGGGAGACUGGAAUUCCUGGUGUAGCGGUGAAAU